AAGGAAUAAAAGGGGCUUCACCUGUUUUUUGUGACUGUGUUUAUUUUGUAUCACACCAUGGGUCAUCACAAUAUGUUUUACAUAUGGUUUGGAG
Non-coding RNA from Notechis scutatus (mainland tiger snake), 94 nucleotides. Lineage: Eukaryota; Metazoa; Chordata; Lepidosauria; Squamata; Elapidae. The record is from RefSeq and is a predicted model, not a curated record.